Long non-coding RNA from Helianthus annuus (common sunflower), 2064 nucleotides. RefSeq lists it as uncharacterized. The transcript is spliced from 6 exons. Lineage: Eukaryota; Viridiplantae; Streptophyta; Magnoliopsida; Asterales; Asteraceae. The record is from RefSeq and is a predicted model, not a curated record.
CAUUUCUCCCAAACCUAAUCGAUUCUCGGUGUUUGCUCUACCUUUCUCCCCUAAAUCAAUCAUCGCUCAACGAUCUAUGGAUCUGCAGUUCCGAUGAAAUCGUCCUUUUGGCCCUUUAUUCUCAUCGUUCGUAAAGAUUUUUUGAUAUUGUGGUGGAGGAAUUCAACAAAACAAAGAAAGAUUGGGACGAAGCCUAUCUUCAAACCCUAGCCCACAUUAAGUUCAAACUAUACGGAGUGGGAGGGGAUGAGGAGGGGGCAUUAAGCACCAUGUGGCAGCCACGUCGCAUAGCAAGAGGGCGUGGUAAAAAAAAGCACGGAGUGUGAGGGGCGUGAAAGUUGUGUUUUUAAAACAAAAAAAAUCAACCAAUUGAAACAAAUCCAAACAACACCCACCAAUCAUAGGUCAUCAAAAUACGACUCGAUAAAUUAUAAGUUACCAGAACGGACAUUAGGUCUAUAGCAUCGCGACAUUCAGAUUAGCAAGGCACUCCUCAAGGAGAUUUUGGCAGCCAAGAGAAGAAACAAAUCAGUGAAAGGUUUGGGGCUUGAAAACCUGAACAAACACGCUCCUAUUAUCCCUUCUCACCUCACAAGUUCCACUCUUUGGACAGCUUAGUUUCAGGCUGACAUCUUCUGCCUACAGGAGAGAGAUUGGGGAAAGCAUGGAACAUGUAUUUACAAUGACCUGCCAGAUCGCUGAGGAUUUGGGCAGAGCCUUCUCAGUCCGGUUAGUUUUACAAACAUUUCUUGAUGUUGAAGCAACUGUUCCAUAUAUUUGGUCGCUUCUCUUAUGCUGCAAUCCAGGUACGUCUAGCAGCGGAAUUUAAAGUGAUAUCUUUUACACUUGGUGUAUGUUAUUUACUGUAUCUUGCACUUUCCCACUUUGACCUCGCAGAUUGCGUUCACAGUUUCACAUUUCUGGUUUAUUUGGCAUCCAUACUUGCUUAUCUGGGUCAACUUGAUUAAGAUAGAGGGAGUGGAAUCUAAGUUUCAUUUUUAAAUGUUCUUGGUUAGCAUGAUUUGUUAGAAUUAGAAUCUAAAUUUCAUUUGUUUGGUUGAGAAAUAGAACUGAAACGUAUUCGCUUAAUGAUGAGUUUGUUUUGCGAUUUAAUGCUUUGUCCCGCUGGCGCAAUGAGCGGGACAAAGCAUUAAGUGUUUAUGGCUAAAAGUUAAUGAUGUUUAGUCAUAUAUUAGUUUAUUGACCCCGACCUGUUCUAACCCAGCCCUGUUCUGACCUGGACCCGUUUCGUCCCGAACCAAAACAACUUUUUUUAUAUUUGACCCGUUUUGACCAAUGACCCGACCCGACCUGACCCAUUUGCCAGGUCUUAUAAGCACUGAUCCUUAAAUAAAUUGGGCAUUAUGUACCAAGAGUAAAGGUGGGAUUAUUGUGUAUAAGAUUGUAAACAUGGGAUUAUUAUGUACCAAGAAUAAAGGUGGGAUUAUUGUGUACAAUAUUCUGAACGUGGGAUUAUUAAAAUCCAAUUUUUCUUAGUUUUUUUUAUAAAAAUUGUUAGCCUGCUAAUGUAAAACUUUGUUAAUUUUUUUGUAAAAUGAUUUUUUGCACUAUUACUACUAGAGGUAAAUAAAUAUUUGUUGAAAACUAAAAUCUAGAUCGGAGAUGAAGCUUUCCUCAAAAGCAUUCUAAACUCUACCGAGACUGUAGCAAGAGGAAGGUUUUAAAGCUUGGACCCAAAUGAUCUAGUUGGUGGUACAGAGAUUGGACCAGAACGGUGUGAGGUAAACGUUCAAGUACCAAUAAAAAACAUGAAAACUUGGUAAGACCAUGUGGUUUAUUUUCUACAAUUCAAGAUUGUAUUGGUGCAUCCAUCGCAUGCCCCCUAUUCAUUCAUCUAGGUAGUCCAUGAGGAUUGAGGACGCAUGAUGACUCAAGAUUUUAUGCUUCUUAUUUCUUAAAUUGCUUUUAAUUUCUUUGUUAAAUGUUAAGACUUUAUGUUAGAUAAUGUUAUAACUUAUUUAUGGCUAGUGUUUUUGUUAUGAACAUGCUUAUUUGAAUUAUAAUGAAGUUUUAUUUCUUUUAUUAGUUGAUGUUAUACAAUAA